This 580-nucleotide ribosomal RNA is filed under the name uncultured Glomus. RNAcentral's name for it is "eukaryotic LSU rRNA". It matches the Rfam family "Eukaryotic large subunit ribosomal RNA", at positions 204 to 633 of the family's 3401-position model. The record is from RNAcentral. Lineage: Eukaryota; Fungi; Glomeromycota; Glomeromycetes; Glomerales; Glomeraceae.
CAUGGAGGGUGAGAAUCCCGUCCGGCCAACUUUUUGACGCUUUACGAUACACUUUCAAAGAGUCGAGUUGUUUGGGAUUGCAGCUCAAAAUGGGAGGUAAAUUUCUCCUAAGGCUAAAUAUUGGCGAGAGACCGAUAGCGAACAAGUACUGUGAGGGAAAGAUGAAAAGAACUUUGAAAAGAGAGUAAAAUAGUACGUGAAAUUGUUGAAAGGGAAACGAUUGAAGUCAGUCGUACCGAUGAUAAAUCAGCUCCUCGAGUGCGAACUUGCGGGCGUGCGUGAGCUUUAAAACCUCGCUGUUUGCAACGUUUGUACUUUUUGGGUGUACUUUUUCGUAUGGUAGGCCAACGUCAGUUUCGAUUACCAUAAAAUGACCGGAGGAAUGUAGCUUCGAUCUCGUAUUGAAGUGUUAUAGCCCCUGGUAGAUGUGGUGACUGAAACUGAGGAUUGCAACGAAUACCUUUUGGGCUAUCCGUCUGAUCUCUGAAAGUUGCUUAGGUGCCGAAAGCAUGCUUACGGUUAUUUAAGUUGACGGUCAAUAGGUUAGAACGUGAUUACAUUCGUUAAGGAUGUUGACGUA